Molecule: unclassified non-coding RNA, 949 nt
Filed under: Hevea brasiliensis (rubber tree)
Lineage: Eukaryota; Viridiplantae; Streptophyta; Magnoliopsida; Malpighiales; Euphorbiaceae
Source: RNAcentral
GGGAACUGAUCUAAACUUCUCCAACUUAGCACAACGAAAACGCAGCCCACCCGUUCCUUCAAAACCUAUGACAGUGGCUAUCAACGGCGAGUAACCCUGCUAAACUCUCAUGGGAAAAUCGAAAAUUUAGUUCAAUUUUUUUUUUUUUCAUGAUUUUCUGUGUAAGCAUCGACUGAAAAUUCAUUCACUGUAUUUAGAAUAAGCAGAAAAGAAGUGAGAAUGACUGGUGGCGGCUUAAAGGGUAUUUUGGCUGCCGCUGUUACCCAAGGGGUGGCUGAGGCAAGGGCAAGGAUAUUUGGGCAUGUGCUUAACCCUGCAGGGCACAGAUCCCCCCACAAAAUUUUGCGCAAGAAGCUCAUUGGUGAGAAGGUCGCGCAAUGGUACCCUCAUGAUAUCAAGAGGGAUGACCCACUUAUUAUGGCCCGCCAAGAGCAAGAGCGUUUAUCCAAGCUUGAAAUGUUGAAGAGACGUGGAAAAGGGCCACCCAAGAAGGGCCAAGGAAAGGGAGCCAUGAAGCGAAACAAAGGGAAAUGAUGUUUUCAUAUUCUCUUUUUCAUAUCAGUCCUUGGGUAGUUUUGGCAAUAAGUUAGUAGUAUCUGGCAUUUUCAGCAACAACUUUGGAACUGAUACGGCCGUAUGAUGUUUCUUUUCCUUUUAGUAGUUUUAUUAAAUGAAUGAGCAUCUAUUGUCGACUAUGUACUCCUAAUCUCCUGCACUAUGAACCAGUCACUCAGGCAGGUACUCAACCUCUAACUAGACUUGACAGAGUAAAUUUUAACUCAUACUUGCCUGCAUAUAAGUUUCCAUUUUUUCAGUUGGCAUUCCAAUGUCUGUGGAGUUUGAUUAUGGAAAACUGAUUACAAUGUCAGGCAAAUUGCAAAGCCUUGGAGACAACAUAGCUGGAGCAUUACCAUCUUUGUCUACAAUACAUGUAGACACAUGUAACUAA